This 497-nucleotide ribosomal RNA is filed under the name uncultured bacterium. Its description in RNAcentral is "partial 16S ribosomal RNA". It matches the Rfam family "Bacterial small subunit ribosomal RNA", at positions 28 to 507 of the family's 1533-position model. The record is from RNAcentral.
GAUGAACGCUGGCGGCGUGCCUAAUACAUGCAAGUAGAACGCUGAAGGAAGGAGCUUGCUCUUUCCGGAUGAGUUGCGAACGGGUGAGUAACGCGUAGGUAACCUGCCUGGUAGCGGGGGAUAACUAUUGGAAACGAUAGCUAAUACCGCAUAACAGUAGAUGUUGCAUGACAACUAUUUGAAAGGGGCAAUUGCUCCACUACCAGAUGGACCUGCGUUGUAUUAGCUAGUUGGUGAGGUAACGGCUCACCAAGGCGACGAUACAUAGCCGACCUGAGAGGGUGAUCGGCCACCCUGGGACUGAGACACGGCCCAGACUCCUACGGGAGGCAGCAGUAGGGAAUCUUCGGCAAUGGACGGAAGUCUGACCGAGCAACGCCGCGUGAGUGAAGAAGGUUUUCGGAUCGUAAAGCUCUGUUGUAAGAGAAGAACGAGUGUGAGAGUGGAAAGUUCACACUGUGACGGUAUCUUACCAGAAAGGGACGGCUAACUACGUG